This 1442-nucleotide ribosomal RNA is filed under the name uncultured Erysipelotrichaceae bacterium. RNAcentral's name for it is "bacterial SSU rRNA". It matches the Rfam family "Bacterial small subunit ribosomal RNA". The record is from RNAcentral. Lineage: Bacteria; Bacillati; Bacillota; Erysipelotrichia; Erysipelotrichales; Erysipelotrichaceae.
GAUAACGCUGGCGGCGUGCCUAAUACAUGCAAGUUGAACGGAGAGCUUCGGCUCUUAGUAGCGAACGGGUGAGUAACACGUAGGCAACCUGCCCUGUUGACUGGGAUAACUGAUCGAAAGGUUAGCUAAUACCGGAUAAUAACAUGCAUCGCAUGGUGUAUGGAUGAAAGUUGGGAUACAACACAACAGGAUGGGCCUGCGGCGCAUUAGCUAGAUGGUGAGAUAGCAGCCCACCAUGGCAAUGAUGCGUAGCCGAUCUGAGAGGAUGUACGGCCACAUUGGAACUGAGACACGGUCCAGACUCCUACGGGAGGCAGCAGUAGGGAAUUUUCGGCAAUGGGGGAAACCCUGACCGAGCAACGCCGCGUGAACGAUGAAGGCCUUCGGGUCGUAAAGUUUUGUUGUUAGGGAAGAAUGGCGCCUACAGGGAAUGGUAGGCGAGUGACGGUACCUUACGAGGAAGUCACGGCUAACUACGUGCCAGCAGCCGCGGUAAUACGUAGGUGGCAAGCGUUAUCCGGAAUUAUUGGGCGUAAAGGGAGAGUAGGCGGUUUAGAAAGUGCGAGGUAAAAGGCUAGUGCUCAACGCUAGUAUGCUUUGCAAACUAAUAGACUAGAGUACAGGAGAGGUUAACGGAAUUCCAUGUGUAGCGGUGAAAUGCGUAGAUAUAUGGAGGAACAUCGGUGGCGAAGGCGGUUAACUGGACUGGAACUGACGCUGAGGCUCGAAAGCGUGGGGAGCAAAUAGGAUUAGAUACCCUAGUAGUCCACGCCGUAAACGAUGAUUACUAAGUGUUGGGGGAACUCAGUGCUGAAGUUAACACAUUAAGUAAUCCGCCUGGGGAGUACGUUCGCAAGAAUGAAACUCAAAGGAAUUGACGGGUGCCCGCACAAGCGGUGGAGCAUGUGGUUUAAUUCGACGCAACGCGGAGAACCUUACCAGGCCUUGACAUGCCAUUAAAGGCCCUAGAGAUAGGGAGAUAGUUAUAGUGGACACAGGUGGUGCAUGGUUGUCGUCAGCUCGUGUCGUGAGAUGUUGGGUUAAGUCCCGCAACGAGCGCAACCCUUGUCGAUAGUUACCAACAGUAAGAUGGGGACUCUAUUGAGACAGCCUCUGUAAGGAGGAGGAAGGUGGGGAUGACGUCAAAUCAUCAUGCCCUUUAUGGCCUGGGCAACACACGUGCUACAAUGGGGAGGACAAAGAGCUGCCAGCCGGCGACGGUGAGCGAAUCUCAUAAACCUCUUCUCAGUUCGGAUUGGAGUCUGCAACUCGACUCCAUGAAGUUGGAAUCGCUAGUAAUCGCGAAUCAGCUAUGUCGCGGUGAAUACGUUCUCGGGCAUUGUACACACCGCCCGUCAAACCAUGGGAGUCGGAAAUACCUGAAGUCGUUAUCCUAACCGAAAGGAGGGAGGCGCCUAAGGUAGAGCUGAUGACUGGGGUUA